RNAcentral lists this ribosomal RNA (703 nucleotides) under uncultured bacterium. Its description in RNAcentral is "bacterial SSU rRNA". It matches the Rfam family "Bacterial small subunit ribosomal RNA", at positions 8 to 698 of the family's 1533-position model. The record is from RNAcentral.
AGAGUUUGAUCAUGGCUCAGGACGAACGCUGGCGGCGCGCUUAACACAUGCAAGUCGAGCGAGAACCGGGACUUCGGUCCCGGGGACAGCGGCGAACGGGUGAGUAACACGUGGGUAAUCCACCCUCGGCACCGGGAUAGCCCGGGGAAACCCGGAUUAAUACCGGAUGGCCCCUCCGACUUUCGGGUCGGUCGGGAAAGGUAGCUUCGGCCUCUGGCCGGGGACGAGCCCGCGGCGGAUUAGCUUGUUGGUGGGGUAACGGCCUACCAAGGCGACGAUCCGUAGCUGGUCUGAGAGGACGAUCAGCCACACUGGGACUGAGACACGGCCCAGACUCCUACGGGAGGCAGCAGUGGGGAAUCUUGCCCAAUGGGCGCAAGCCUGAGGCAGCGACGCCGCGUGAGGGAAGAAGGCCUUCGGGUUGUAAACCUCUUUCAGCAGGGACGAAGCUACUCGGGUUAACAGCCCAGAGGGUGACGGUACCUGUAGAAGAAGCCCCGGCUAACUACGUGCCAGCAGCCGCGGUAAUACGUAGGGGGCAAGCGUUGUCCGGAUUUACUGGGCGUAAAGAGCGUGUAGGCGGCCAAGCAGGUCUGUUGUGAAAACUGGAGGCUCAACCUCCAGACGUCGACAGAAACCGCUUGGCUAGAGUCCGGAAGAGGAGAGUGGAAUUCCUGGUGUAGCGGUGAAAUGCGCAGAUAUC